RNAcentral lists this ribosomal RNA (452 nucleotides) under Gallerucida bifasciata. RNAcentral's name for it is "partial 16S ribosomal RNA". Lineage: Eukaryota; Metazoa; Arthropoda; Insecta; Coleoptera; Chrysomelidae. The record is from RNAcentral.
UCUUUUUGUUUUAUAUUUAAAGUCUGGUCUGCCCACUGAAUUUUUAAAUGGCCGCGGUAUUUUGACCGUGCUAAGGUAGCAUAAUCAUUAGUUUUUUAAUUGAAAGCUGGAAUGAAAGGUUGGAUGAAAAAAAGACUGUCUCUAUUUAAAAAAUAAAAUUUUAUUUUUAAGUUAAAAAGCUUAAAUAAUUUUAAAAGACGAGAAGACCCUAUAGAGUUUUAUAAAAUUUAUUUAUUUUUAUAGUUAGAAUUUUAUUAUUUAUAAUAGUAUAUUUAUUUAAUUGGGGUGAUUGAAAAAUUUAAUAAACUUUUUUUUUAUUAUAAUAUUUUUAUAUAAGUGUUUGAUCCAUUUUGUAUUGAUUAUAAGAUUAAAUUACCUUAGGGAUAACAGCGUAAUUUUAUUGGAGAGUUCAAAUCGAUAAUAGAGAUUGCGACCUCGAUGUUGGAUUAAAA